UGUGUGCACUUGUUUUGUGCUAAUUACUGAAAAUGACUGGAAAAGGACUUGUAAGAGGAAAUUCAGGAAAUAUGCCAUUUGUAGAUUCUUGCAAAUUUCUUCGCUGGCAAUGAAGAUGAUUUUGGAGUGGAGAUGAGAGGAGUAAAGACCACAAGGAAACUAUAGCACUAUUUACUUUGAUGGACUUGGUUUGGCAUCCUUUUCAGAUGAACACAACCUGUGCCAUUCGAGAUACAUGCAGAACAGAUUCAAGUGAAGUAUUGAAAUUUCUGAAUUGGUGGCUGGAAUCAGUAAUGGACUCAACAAGGAAUCAGUAGGGGACUGAAUGAAGACCAAAUACUGAAACAAUCCACAUAAGAUAAUUGUUCUCUUGGAAGGCAGUCCAUCCUACAAGGGAGAUGAGGUUCAACCAGCUUGGAAAUGGUGUGCAAUGCCUUCCAUCAGUUUCAGCCAGUGUACCAGCCAAAAUCCAACUUGCUGCAAAAGGCUUCCCCUUCUCCUCAUGUUGCAAGAAACCUGCAAGGAGGUUAUUAAUAUAACACAAUGUGAAGAAUCAGUUCAAUGAAGCAGUGUCACGACAUCUAAAAUAUGGUGGAAACAUCUUCCAAGAAACCCACUAUCAAAUGCCCUUUGAGGUUUACUGUACACUUGUAGCUCCAUUGCAACACUUAGGAAGCUUCUGUUAAGAUGUACCACUGCAAAGGAGAAGAAAAACCUGCCUUUGCCUCAAGAUGAAGGGGGGAAAAAUCAUAUAUACCCAUUCUUAUAUCAGAAGCAAAAGGCAGACCUUGACAAGGCACAAACAAAAGGAAACCUAUAGGCAUAGCUACAAAUGUAGGCAGAAUACUAACUGAAAUUAAAAUUUAUUACUGAUCUACAGAGGAAAAAAAGUGAAAAUUAUUUACUGGCAUAUCCAGAUCCCAGAAAACAUGACAACAACAUAAGUACAAAAAUCUAAGUUACUUGGCAAAACGAUUUAGAAAAAUGAGAAACCUCACCCCAGUACGGGACUUUCCUCGUAUUUGAUGCUAUCUAGUGUGCAGCACAAUGCAGCAUAAAGGGUAACUAGAAGAUUUACAAUCUGAAGAUGAAGAUUUUACUUUGCCAUGGUGAAUUCACUGUUCAUAAAAACAGAAAGAGAACACUUCACUGGAAAAUGUUGGCAGACCUCUGGGGAGUAACAGGGCACGUUAAUUUAUAUGACAUGCUGUCCUGUUUCUUUUGUAGAGGCCCACAGGAGGGGUUUGCUACCCUGAGCUUUUAUUUCGGUCCCUAAUGAAAAAGCAAAAGGUUUAAGCCCAUUUAUUGUGCAGUAUA
Long non-coding RNA from Hemicordylus capensis (graceful crag lizard), 1317 nucleotides. RefSeq lists it as uncharacterized. NCBI's taxonomy places the organism in Eukaryota, Metazoa, Chordata, Lepidosauria, Squamata, Cordylidae. The transcript has 4 exons. The record is from RefSeq and is a predicted model, not a curated record.